UUGGCUCUGCAGUGAUAUUCCUGGAUAGGGGAAGGGUUUUUUUCUUUCAAAACCAGUGGGCCGAUGCUGCAGUUGGUGCCGUGGUAGAGGGAAAUAAUGUGCUCCACGUAUUUAUAUGGAGGGUUAGUGUGCGUAUACGAAGGCGGAUACUGUACGUUCAAGCGUGCUGCUGAAUGGUGAUUUUUCGACACACAUCCACAUAGACACACAUCUACAUAGACACACAUCCACAUAGACACACAUCCACAUAGACACACACAUCCACAUAGACACAUCCACAUAGACACACAUUCACAUAGACACACAUCCACAUAGACACACAUCCACACACACACACAUCCACACAGACACACAUCCACAUAGACACACAUCCACAUAGACACACAUCCACACACACACACAUCCACAUAGACACACAUCCACAUAGACACACAUCCACAUAGACACACACAUCCACAUAGACACACACAUCCACAUAGACACACAUUCACAUAGACACACAUCCACAUAGACACACAUCCACAUAGACACACAUCCACAUAGACACACAUCCACAUAGACACACACACUAUACAGACCCACAAAGACUCACCCACAGACUCACACACACAAAGACUCACACACACAAAGACUCUCACACACACACUCUCACAUACAAAGACACGCACACACGCACACAACCACAUAGACACACAUCCACAUAGACACAUCCACAUAGACACGCACACAUUCACACAGACCCACACACACCACACACAGACCCACACACACCACACACACCCACACACACCACACACAGACCCACACACACCCACACAGACUCUCACACCCACACAAUCACACACACACCGGCUCGCACACAGACUCGCUGCGCGGAGAAGGGAGGGAGGGAGCAUCGUGGACACGCGCAUGGAACAAGAGGAGGACAACACGCACGAUCGGCACUCGCCUCUCACGCGAUGAGCUCCUGACCGACUCUCCUGCCCCCCCCCCCCCCCGACCGGGAGACUCUCACGCACCUGACGGUGUGGGGGGGGGGCUGGGCGGCCCGGGAGGGGGAGGGAUGGUGAGCGGAACAACGGGAGGGAGGAGGAGGAGUUGAGUCGCGGCGGUGCCAAUAAGGGCGGCAGCGAUGGUCGUGGAGCGGUAGUGCCGUCACAGCCGCUGGACGACUUCGCCGUUGAGUGCGCACGCAGUGAGACCGGCACUGGGUCGGAACGGGUCCAGGCUCCAGGCCGCAAGGAAG
This is a long non-coding RNA of Lethenteron reissneri (Far Eastern brook lamprey), 1246 nucleotides long. RefSeq lists it as uncharacterized. Lineage: Eukaryota; Metazoa; Chordata; Hyperoartia; Petromyzontiformes; Petromyzontidae. The record is from RefSeq and is a predicted model, not a curated record.